UCUCAGUUCGGACUGGAGUCUGCAACCCGACUCCACGAAGCUGGAUUCGCUAGUAAUCGCGCAUCAGCCACGGCGCGGUGAAUACGUUCCCGGGCCUUGUACACACCGCCCGUCAAGCCAUGGGAGCCGGGGGUACCUGAAGUGCGUAACCGCGAGGAGCGCCCUAGGGUAAAACUGGUGACUGGGGCUAAGUCGUAACAAGGUAUC
Molecule: ribosomal RNA, 207 nt
Filed under: uncultured bacterium
Lineage: Bacteria
Description: partial 16S ribosomal RNA
Rfam family: Bacterial small subunit ribosomal RNA
Source: RNAcentral